RNAcentral lists this ribosomal RNA (497 nucleotides) under uncultured bacterium. Its description in RNAcentral is "partial 16S ribosomal RNA". It matches the Rfam family "Bacterial small subunit ribosomal RNA", at positions 29 to 507 of the family's 1533-position model. The record is from RNAcentral.
AAUGAACGCUGGCGGCGUGCCUAACACAUGCAAGUCGAACGAACACACGGGGAGCUUUCGCCCCUGACGUUGGCGGCGGACGGACGGGUAACACAUGGAUAGCAUACCUCUAAGACUGGGGUGAUAACGUCGAACAAGAUCUACUAACCGAGAAUAUGUCGCACUGCAUGGAUCAACAGUUAAAUACGCUCUUGCUGACAGUAAUAGCCGAACCCGCGUCGCAUUAGUUGGUGGGUAAGGUCAAGGCUUAGCAACGCUACGAUGCGUAGCCGACCUGAGAGGGUGGUCGGCCACACUGGAACUGAGACACGGUACAGACUCCUACGGGGGGCAGCAGUGGGGAAUCUUACGCAAUGGGCGAAUGCCUGAUGGAGCAACACCGCGUGAGUGAAGAAGGACUUCGGAUUGUAGAGCGCUGAUGUUAGGAAAGAACAAAAGCGUAUUUAACCGUGACCGUCUUGACGGUACCUAAAGAAUAAGCACCGGCUAACUACGUG